Molecule: RNA transcript, 1599 nt
Organism: Pocillopora verrucosa
Lineage: Eukaryota; Metazoa; Cnidaria; Anthozoa; Scleractinia; Pocilloporidae
Gene name: transcription initiation factor TFIID subunit 5-like
Source: RefSeq, a predicted model, not a curated record
GGAUGCAUAUAACCAGCUUUUACUUUGUGGUGGAGUUUUUCGUUCCCUUGUUGUACAUGUUUUUCGCGUACGCAAAGAUCGCUGUAAGUUUAUGGAAAAGAAGCAAAAAUGAAACGAUUCACAAGGCAGUUGCCAAGGCCAAAAUGAAAUCAACUCGGUUGAUGGUCGCUGCUUUCGUAGUUUUGGUGUUCUGUAGGCCGCCAAUCUUAGUAUUGCAAUUACUGGAGGUGUAUAGAGUAUUUGACAACCGAUCAUUUAAAAAUACAUUCUUAAUUUCUAUUUGGUGCGCAAUGGCGCAGAUAUCCAGCUCUUCUCUAAGCCCUGUCAUCUACACAUUCCUGAGCCCUGAGUUUAGGACAAGCGUUCUCAAACACUGUUGCUUCUUUUGUUCUCGUCGCGUGUCUAUUCGUGGUCAUCAACAUUGUCCUUUAGGUCGCGUGGAGCCUGUCACUUGACACAGACGAAUCACUGCGGAAAAUCAUCAGAACAUUAAGUUUUCCGCGUAUGUACCCAGUGCAUGUCUAUUUUUGGAGUCACUUCGCAGGGGACUGAGUACAGAGAGCGACUAACGACAAGGGUUAGGCCGAAGGACUAAGACACCACUAUUUUGGCUCAGGACACGUGGAGUCUGUUAUAACCUACAAAUAUUAGCAAGUUUGUGUACGCACUGCAUGCCUACUUUUUGAUUGGGCUCCGCUGACCAAGUGGGAACAACAAGCGCGCAGAGGGAGUGACUGGUGACAACAAUGGAGUGCAGGGGAUCCCUUCCAUGUUUGCACCUUCUCCUCUUUUAGCAAAAAAAGCCUUGACUAGUCUUCUUUGCGUUUCUCACAUGUAUGAAAUGCUCAAGAUGGCCUUCCUUAUUUCAAUGCCGUACCUGGCCGAAAAAUAUUUACGUCCUUAGACCGACCAAAAUCAGCUUCUUAAAAACUAAAUUGGGGUUUUUAAGUGAAUAUCGUCUUAAAUUCCAAAAACUGUUUACCGAUGGAUCCAAAGAAAUCUACUGAGAAGCAGGAGAGGCACGCACUGCAGGCUUUUAUGAAUCUUGACAAAACUGGUGCACAAGAAGACUUUAAACUUACACGGAAAUGUGUAGCAUCGAGAGAGGAGAAUUAACAGUCAGAUCUUAGGAGCAAAAGGGUUACCAGUCAGAUAAGACUUGACUUUCAUAAAGUCAGGAAGAUUAUCGUGAAGACGACCUUAACAAGUUGGCAGCCACAACACAGCGUGAACACAUGAAAAGCAAUGAGCUCAUGGGAACCUUAAGGAUCAACAGUAAGAAUUGCUUCUUACCUUGAUUCAGUGAUGUACACCUUCACUCUGAUGCCAACAAAAGCAAGGUGUAUAUGGAAUUCCACCAGAACCUGAUCUUUGAGUUGUUCUCAAAGAGGAAAAUGUGAAGGAAGAUAAAGAUAGGCCAAAAGUGAGUACAUUUUGAAAAUAUGGAGUGGUAUUUAAUUUAGUGAGGGAGGUUUGCAUUGUAGCUUUAGUUUUGCCAUACUAUGUUUUUCAAAUAAAUUAUCUUACCUGGGAAUGAAAGUUGCCUAAUUGUUUUGCCUCUUAAACCCUUUCACUCCCAAGAUCUCAGUAUUCAUUCUC